This 453-nucleotide ribosomal RNA is filed under the name uncultured Sphingobacteriales bacterium. RNAcentral describes it as "bacterial SSU rRNA". It matches the Rfam family "Bacterial small subunit ribosomal RNA", at positions 927 to 1382 of the family's 1533-position model. Lineage: Bacteria; Pseudomonadati; Bacteroidota; Sphingobacteriia; Sphingobacteriales. The record is from RNAcentral.
AAGCGGUGGAGCAUGUGGUUUAAUUUCGAUGAUACGCGAGGAACCUUACCUGGGCUCAAAUGUAUGUUGACGUAUUCUGAAAGGGAUACUUCUCGGACAAUAUACAAGGUGCUGCAUGGUUGUCGUCAGCUCGUGCCGUGAGGUGUCGGGUUAAGUCCCAUAACGAGCGCAACCCCUAUCAUUAGUUGCCAUCAGGUCAAGCUGGGGACUCUAAUGAAACUGCCUACGCAAGUAGUGAGGAAGGUGGGGAUGACGUCAAAUCAGCACGGCCCUUACGUCCAGGGCUACACACGUGCUACAAUGGUCGGUACAAAGGGUUGCCAAGCCGCGAGGUGGAGCUAAUCCCAUAAAACCGAUCGUAGUCCGGAUCGCAGUCUGCAACUCGACUGCGUGAAGUCGGAAUCGCUAGUAAUCGUGAAUCAGAAUGUCACGGUGAAUACGUUCCCGGGCCUU